GUGCUGGACGUAAGGUUUGGGAAAUUUGGUUGGGCCUGAAUAGCAUAGUUGAGAAGAUAAUUUUUGUUGUGUCAGUUGGAUGCGUCAUCUUUGUUUCCUUCAAGCUAAUGAACAUGCAGUUGUGGAGAAUGAAAAAUGGAUCUGGUUGGUGGCUAAAUACGCCAAGGACGACAAGCUCCCAUUCCUGGAAAACGGAUUUUCCUCAAGAUCCUAGUUAUAGGCAGCCAAGCAAUAGGAGAAGUGGCAUCACUGAGAAGUUGAAGAAGUUGUUUCCAAAGUUCACAAUGCAGAUA
RNAcentral lists this unclassified non-coding RNA (293 nucleotides) under Hevea brasiliensis (rubber tree). Lineage: Eukaryota; Viridiplantae; Streptophyta; Magnoliopsida; Malpighiales; Euphorbiaceae. The record is from RNAcentral.